This 253-nucleotide ribosomal RNA is filed under the name uncultured bacterium. RNAcentral's name for it is "partial 16S ribosomal RNA". It matches the Rfam family "Bacterial small subunit ribosomal RNA", at positions 524 to 776 of the family's 1533-position model. The record is from RNAcentral.
UACGGAGGGUGCGAGCGUUGUUCGGAAUCACUGGGCGUAAAGCGCGUGUAGGCGGCCUUGUAAGUCUGGUGUGAAAGCCCGGGGCUUACCCCCGGAAGUGCACUGGAAACUGCAAGGCUAGAGUACCGGAGAGGAAGGUGGAAUUCCUGGUGUAGCGGUGAAAUGCGUAGAUAUCAGGAGGAACACCGGUGGCGAAGGCGGCCUUCUGGACGGAUACUGACGCUGAGACGCGAAAGCGUGGGGAGCAAACAGG